CGCAUGGGCGAAGCCUGACGCAGCCAUGCCGCGUNGAAUGAUGAAGGUCUUAGGAUUGUAAAAUUCUUUCACCGGGGACGAUAAUGACGGUACCCGGAGAAGAAGCCCCGGCUAACUUCGUGCCAGCAGCCGCGGUAAUACGAAGGGGGCUAGCGUUGCUCGGAAUUACUGGGCGUAAAGGGCGCGUAGGCGGAUCGUUAAGUCAGGGGUGAAAUCCCGGGGCUCAACCUCGGAAUUGCCCUUGAUACUGGCGAUCUUGAGUAUGAGAGAGGUAUGUGGAACUCCGAGUGUAGAGGUGAAAUUCGUAGAUAUGGCGGAAGAACACCAGUG
This 330-nucleotide ribosomal RNA is filed under the name bacterium T-1-48-4G. RNAcentral describes it as "bacterial SSU rRNA". It matches the Rfam family "Bacterial small subunit ribosomal RNA", at positions 367 to 714 of the family's 1533-position model. The record is from RNAcentral.